GAUAAACGCUGGCGGCGUGCAUAACACAUGCAAGUCGAACGAUGAAACUUAGAUGAUUUCUUCGGAAUGAACUUAAGCGGAUUAGUGGCGAACGGGUGAGUAACACGUGAGUAACCUGCCUUACACAAGGGGAUAGCCUUUGGAAACGAAGAAUAAUACCCUAUAAAGUCAAUUUAUCGCAUGAUAGAAUGACCAAAGAUUUAUCGGUGUAAGAUGGACUUGCGUCUGAUUAGCUAGUUGGUGAGAUAAAGGCCCACCAAGGCAACGAUCAGUAGCCGGCUUGAGAGAGUGUACGGCCACAUUGGGACUGAGACACGGCCCAAACUCCUACGGGAGGCAGCAGUGGGGAAUAUUGCACAAUGGAGGGAACUCUGAUGCAGCGACGCCGCGUGAACGAAGAAGGCUUUCGAGUCGUAAAGUUCUUUUAUAUGGGAAGAUAAUGACGGUACCAUAAGAAAAAGCCCCGGCUAACUACUUGCCAGCAGCCGCGGUAAUACGUAGGGGGCUAGCGUUGUCCGGAAUCACUGGGCGUAAAGGGUUCGCAGGCGGAAAUGCAAGUCAGGUGUAAAAGGGAGUAGCUUAACUACUGUAAGCAUGUGAAACUGCAUAUCUUGAGAAGAUGAGAGGUAAGUGGAAUUUUUUGGUGUAGGGUGAAUUGCUAUGAUAUAAAAUGAAUGCCGGUGGUGAUAGUUACUUAUUUGGUGUAUUCUGAUUGUGUAGGAAUGAGGAUGUGUGUCUGUAUCUUGUGUGUAUUCUCUGUAUUUGAGGAGGGAUUUUGUUUUGAUGUUUUUGUUUUUGUGUGUUUUGAGGUGGUGGUGUGUG
RNAcentral lists this ribosomal RNA (822 nucleotides) under uncultured Peptoniphilus sp. RNAcentral describes it as "bacterial SSU rRNA". It matches the Rfam family "Bacterial small subunit ribosomal RNA". Lineage: Bacteria; Bacillati; Bacillota; Tissierellia; Tissierellales; Peptoniphilaceae. The record is from RNAcentral.